UGAAGGCUGCGUUGUACGUUUGUAUAUGAAGUUUCAACCUUUACUUAAAUAACGGGAGUUCAAAAUUAUUGAAGGAAUAACAUGCCUACAUUAUGUAGGACGUUAGGAAAACAAUUGCGAACACCCACCUGGUGGAGCAGGUUAUGAAACUCCAUAUUAAUCGGCGGCAACAGCGGCUUAUUG
RNAcentral lists this non-coding RNA (183 nucleotides) under Cytobacillus horneckiae. RNAcentral's name for it is "Bacillus horneckiae 6S / SsrS RNA". It matches the Rfam family "6S / SsrS RNA". Rfam says of the family: E. coli 6S RNA was the first non coding RNA to be sequenced, but its function was unknown until recently. It consists of 184 nucleotides that fold into an extended hairpin structure with a large single-stranded internal bulge. Lineage: Bacteria; Bacillati; Bacillota; Bacilli; Caryophanales; Bacillaceae. The record is from Rfam by way of RNAcentral.